AGAAUCAACGCUGGCGGCGUGCCUAACACAUGCAAGUCGAACGAGAAAGGGGUAGCAAUACCCUGAGUAAAGUGGCGCACGGGUGAGUAACACGUGACUAACCUACCCUGGAGUGGGGGAUAACUGAGGGAAACCUUAGCUAAUACCGCAUAAUACCUACGGGUCAAAGGAGCAAUUCGCUUUGGGAGGGGUCGCGGCCGAUUAGUUAGUUGGCGGGGUAAUGGCCCACCAAGACGAUGAUCGGUAUCCGGCCUGAGAGGGCGCACGGACACACUGGAACUGAAACACGGUCCAGACUCCUACGGGAGGCAGCAGUGGGGAAUUUUGCGCAAUGGGGGAAACCCUGACGCAGCAACGCCGCGUGGAGGAUGAAGUACUUCGGUACGUAAACUCCUUUCGAUCGGGACGAUUAUGACGGUACCGAGAGAAGAAGCCCGGCUAACUUCGUGCCAGCAGCCGC
Molecule: ribosomal RNA, 460 nt
Filed under: uncultured bacterium
Lineage: Bacteria
Description: SSU rRNA
Rfam family: Bacterial small subunit ribosomal RNA
Source: RNAcentral